UGCAGUCGAGCGACAGCGCCUCUUUCGGGGGGUGUAUGGAGCGGCGAACGGGUGAGUAACACGUGAGUAACCUGCCCCAGUCUUUGGGAUAACCUUCGGAAACGGGGGUUAAUACCGGAUAUCCAUUUGAUGCGGCAUCGUGUUGGGUGGAAAGUUUUUUCGGUCUGGGAUGGGCUCGCGGCCUAUCAGCUUGUUGGUGGGGUGAUGGCCUACCAAGGCGACGACGGGUAGCCGGCCUGAGAGGGCGACCGGCCACACUGGGACUGAGACACGGCCCAGACUCCUACGGGAGGCAGCAGUGGGGAAUAUUGCACAAUGGGCGGAAGCCUGAUGCAGCGACGCCGCGUGAGGGAUGACGGCCUUCGGGUUGUAAACCUCUUUCAGCAGGGACGAAGCGUAAGUGACGGUACCUGCAGAAGAAGCGCCGGCCAACUACGUGCCAGCAGCCGCGGUAAGACGUAGGGCGCGAGCGUUGUCCGGAUUUAUUGGGCGUAAAGAGCUCGUAGGCGGCUCGUUGCGUCAACCGUGAAAACCCGGGGCUUAACUUCGGGCUUGCGGUUGAUACGGGCGGGCUGGAGUUCGGUAGGGGAGACU
This 594-nucleotide ribosomal RNA is filed under the name uncultured bacterium. RNAcentral describes it as "bacterial SSU rRNA". It matches the Rfam family "Bacterial small subunit ribosomal RNA", at positions 56 to 662 of the family's 1533-position model. The record is from RNAcentral.